GCUCCUGAACGUGUGACUGUGCAGGUCAAUCUUCUGAAACGAGAAAUUAGAUAUGGUUGCGUUUGCUUUUGCAGCCGAGAGAAUGUUUGACUUUCCGAUGUAUUCCAUCCUAAACUACUAAAGCUUUUGCAAAGUAUCAAUCGGCUGGAACAGAGUUCCCAGAUUGGACCAGCAACUGUCUUGUCUACCGCAAGGUCAUCGCACCAAUAGAGAUGUUUGGUCGCGGGGAUCGUGUCCUUCUCUCGGAUCUACGCCGACUGCCCCGGCGACGCGAAGCAUCAACGAUCCGCUGAUAGUUGGUGAAUGAUCAUUUCACUGGUGGAUUGGCAUCUUUGCACCCGGGGGGGGGGGGGGGGGGGCAGUCAAAUAUAUUGCUGUACACAUGCGUGACCAAAAAAAAAACGCGUUUAAAGGGAUGUUUUUUCAGUUUUGGACGCGGGCCGCGCGUGCACUCGUUAAGGUAUCAAAAAGGGUGGUUUUGAAAGACUGGUCAAUGGUCAAUCGUAGGGUCAAAUGUAUUUAGGGUAUCUUUUUUCCAAAGCUUUUUUUCUUCUUCUAAGAUUGGCCAAACGUGUUAAGGGUAUGUUCUUUCUCCAAGCUUUUCCCCGAGGCUUUUUCCUCCUCGUUUCUGAAAAGUGUUCAGGUUGUUCCCGAUUGUGGUAUUGCACUGGGGGUAUGCAAUACCCAUGUAUAUACAUGUAGUUUUGUCUAUAUUUAAAUAUACGGUUAGCAAGAAGAUAAAACUUGUUUAGGAGUCAUAUUCUGGCGACAACUUAGGGGCCAAAAUGCGUAAAUGAAGCUCGCGGAAAACAUGUUUAGAGGGGUUAUUUUGCGCACAGAGAAACACUCGUUUAGGGGGUGUUUGGAAAUAAUUUGGCCACGCAUGCGUACAGUAAUAGAUUUGACUGCCCCCCCGGGCUUUGCACGCCCUAAGUCCCGCCUGCUACAAUUACUUCGCUGGACUAAGGAGUCUGACUGUGGAGCCUACAAUGCCAUGUAUACUGAAGGUCCUUUCAAAUGGAGACAUCAAAUUUUAUAUGUACUAGUCUUUGCGUGGAGACCCACUUGUUGAUCAAAGUUUCAAUCGGGGUCUGUGCCUGCAGACUACCCUAAGUCGACUAUGACUAGGGUUACUGGGAACUAGACCAGCGGAGAGUAAAGGAAUAUCCAUAUUACCCUCAGUAUUACAGAUGUCUACGGUGCACCGUCUAUCAGCAAAUAUCUGCAUGGGUCUACUUCAAUUACAACGAUUCCCGUCUGUACUUUGUCAACGUUGCAGUCAACAAAGAGAUCAAGAGCGCCAUAGACGUCUGCUUGUUAUUAUUCUCUCGGAUAUUAUUACAAAUGGAAAGCUUCCUGUGGACUUUGAUCACACAUUACGAGCAUCGGUGUGCGUCGGUGGCUCGGUUCCAUAUAAUCGAUUUGCAUAAAGGCUUGUGCUUGGUUCCUAUUGGUGGGAGCUCUGGUCACGUGACAAAUCUAUUAUACCUUCCAGUUGUUAUUAUGAUCAGUCGGUCAAUAGUACCUAUUAUAUCCCGCCGGAGCGUCGCUAUUCUACGGGUACACGUGGUGCUGGCGUGCUAACUGUGUAGAGUUUGAAAUACAUGUGCUCUAGUUUAAAUUGAGAGAGGUUUCCUGACAUAGUCGUGUUCGCUUCGGCAACACAUCUAUUAAAAUUGGAACGAUACAGAGAAGAUUAGCAUGGCCCCUGCGCAAAAGCUACCGACUAAUCUUCUCUGUCCCCGCGUCCCAUAGGCCCCCACGCCGGCGCUGUUUUGAUGAUUUUUGGGCAGAUCGUCUGCCAUAGAAGGAGGGCGGAGCUAUCGCUGGCGUGGGAAAUGGAGCCUUGUUUGAAAACAAAUCGGUCGGGUUCGGGCGUAUGGAACGCCGGAGAGGGGGAAAAAGAAAGUAAAUAAUGAAAUUUUAGGCACGAUUUUUAUUGUAAUGUAAUGACGGUUGAUUUUUUAAUAAAUGCAUUUUGUUUGAAAUG
This is a long non-coding RNA of Lytechinus pictus (painted urchin), 1990 nucleotides long. RefSeq lists it as uncharacterized. NCBI's taxonomy places the organism in Eukaryota, Metazoa, Echinodermata, Echinoidea, Temnopleuroida, Toxopneustidae. The record is from RefSeq and is a predicted model, not a curated record. The transcript has 3 exons.